AGUUUUGAAUGAAACUUUUUCACUUUCUCCUUUUGUUUGUAAUGUCGAAUGUGUCUGUAAUGUCGCAUGCCCAUGUGAGUUGCUAACUUAAAAUAAGUCGCUAACUGCCAUAGGUCGGUUAGGAUGUUUGGCAACUUGUGCCGACCCGAAGGUAAGGUAGAUCCCGCCUUUAGAUCGGCUUCUGAUAGUCAAUGCUGAUCAUCGGGCGC
This 209-nucleotide long non-coding RNA is filed under the name Elaeis guineensis (African oil palm). RNAcentral's name for it is "long non-coding RNA (EGUI_LNC043522)". Lineage: Eukaryota; Viridiplantae; Streptophyta; Magnoliopsida; Arecales; Arecaceae. The record is from RNAcentral.